Non-coding RNA from Acanthosepion pharaonis, 100 nucleotides. NCBI's taxonomy places the organism in Eukaryota, Metazoa, Mollusca, Cephalopoda, Sepiida, Sepiidae. The record is from the annotation of a GenBank genome assembly.
ACCGGAGCGCUCUGAAAACACAGGUUCUCGUUCGAUCACAGAAGUUAAGCAGCGACAAGCUUGGUCAGUACUUUGAUGAGCUUCCGCUUGGGAACAUUGG